RNAcentral lists this small RNA (418 nucleotides) under Vigna angularis var. angularis. RNAcentral's name for it is "Non-protein coding transcript". The record is from RNAcentral. Lineage: Eukaryota; Viridiplantae; Streptophyta; Magnoliopsida; Fabales; Fabaceae.
UGGUCUGCCAUUAAGCAUGGUUUGCACAAACAUGUACUCCAUACCUCACCAGAACUGCAUAAGCAUAUUUCUAUAUCACUAAACAGUUUUGAUAAGUUGUCUUCAUCCUCAACUUUUGGGUACGAGUCAGAGACAUCAUUUCCUAAGGUGCUUGGAGACAUUAUAGAGUCUUUGGCUGGAGCGAUUCUAGUUGAUUCAGGAUACAAUAAAGAGGUUGUGUGGGAAAGCAUAAGGCCACUUUUGGAACCUCUUGUCACACCAGAUACAUUGAAGCUCCACCCCAUCAGAGAGUUGCAAGAAUUGAUACAAAAAAGAAAUUAUAAUAUUAUACAAAAGGAUGUGAAGCGAAAAGAUGGAGUGACCACUUAUAUAAUGGAGGUAGAAGCUGAUGGAAUCAUUCAUCACUAUGAAUAUCUCG